AAGGAGGUGAUCCAGCCGCACUGGAACUGAGACACGGUCCAGACUCCUACGCGAGGCAGCAGUGGGGAAUAUUGCACAAUGGGGGAAACCCUGAUGCAGCCAUGCCGCGUGUGUGAAGAAGGCCUUCGGGUUGUAAAGCACUCUCAGUAGGGAGGAAGGUAGUGCAGUUAACACCUGCAUUAUUUGACGUUACCUACAGAAGAAGCACCGGCUAACUCCGUGCCAGCAGCCGCGGUAAUACGGAGGGUGCGAGCGUUAAUCGGAGUUACUGGGCGUAAAGCGCAUGCAGGCGGUCUGUUAAGCAAGAUGUGAAAGCCCGGGGCUCAACCUCGGAACAGCAUUUUGAACUGGCAGACUAGAGUCUUGUAGAGGGGGGUAGAAUUUCAGGUGUAGCGGUGAAAUGCGUAGAGAUCUGAAGGAAUACCGGUGGCGAAGGCGGCCCCCUGGACAAAGACUGACGCUCAGAUGCGAAAGCGUGGGGAGCAAACAGGAUUAGAUACCCUGGUAGUCCACGCCGUAAACGAUGUCUACUUGGAGGUUGUGGCCUUGAGCCGUGGCUUUCGGAGCUAACGCGUUAAGUAGGCCGCCUGGGGAGUACGGUCGCAAGAUUAAAACUCAAAUGAAUUGACGGGGGCCCGCACAAGCGGUGGAGCAUGUGGUUUAAUUCGAUGCAACGCGAAGAACCUUACCUACUCUUGACAUCCAGAGAACUUAGCAGAGAUGCUUUGGUGCCUUCGGGAACUCUGAGACAGGUGCUGCAUGGCUGUCGUCAGCUCGUGUUGUGAAAUGUUGGGUUAAGUCCCGCAACGAGCGCAACCCUUAUCCUUGUUUGCCAGCACGUAAUGGUGGGAACUCCAGGGAGACUGCCGGUGAUAAACCGGAGGAAGGUGGGGACGACGUCAAGUCAUCAUGGCCCUUACGAGUAGGGCUACACACGUGCUACAAUGGCGCAUACAGAGGGCGGCGAACCAGCGAUGGUAAGCGAAUCCCAAAAAGUGCGUCGUAGUCCGGAUUGGAGUCUGCAACUCGACUCCAUGAAGUCGGAAUCGUUAGUAAUCGUGGAUCAGAAUGCCACGGUGAAUACGUUCCCGGGCCUUGUACACACCGCCCGUCACACCAUGGGAGUGGGCUGCACCAGAAGUAGAUAGCUUAACCUUCGGGAGGGCGUUUACCACGGUGUGGUUCAUGACUGGGGUGAAGUCGUAACAAGGUAACCGUA
Molecule: ribosomal RNA, 1219 nt
Filed under: uncultured bacterium
Lineage: Bacteria
Description: bacterial SSU rRNA
Rfam family: Bacterial small subunit ribosomal RNA
Source: RNAcentral